CUCAGAGCCAGCCAAGUAUGGACUGAAACCUCCACAAACUCCAGGAGUGGAGCCCAGACAUAUCUGUGCUUGAAUAAGCUCUGGAUGAUUCUGAUGCAGGCUCAGGCUUUAGGACCACUGUCUGAAGAUAUGGAACCAGUCACCCCUAGGAGACAAGAGUCCGGGGCAUUGGUCAAGGUUUAACUCCCAUAACACCGCCGGCCCGGGGAGGGCCAGGUUCACGCACGUCCUCCAGCACCCGGCACUCUCACGGCGCGGGACGCCGAGAGGAACCAGCCCAGCGCGCGAGCACGGCGAGACUGGGCGGC
Long non-coding RNA from Chinchilla lanigera (long-tailed chinchilla), 308 nucleotides. RefSeq lists it as uncharacterized. The transcript is spliced from 3 exons. The record is from RefSeq and is a predicted model, not a curated record. NCBI's taxonomy places the organism in Eukaryota, Metazoa, Chordata, Mammalia, Rodentia, Chinchillidae.